GAGAGAGAGAGAGAGAGAGAGAUAAGUCUUAGGAUGUUCAUAUUCUUGUUUAAUUCUCAUUGAAAAUGAAAAAUAAAAAGGAAAAGGGGGAGGAUACCGGUUGCAUAAAGAAAAUCAGGAAG
Juglans microcarpa x Juglans regia is the source of this 122-nucleotide long non-coding RNA. RefSeq lists it as uncharacterized. The record is from RefSeq and is a predicted model, not a curated record. The transcript has 3 exons. Lineage: Eukaryota; Viridiplantae; Streptophyta; Magnoliopsida; Fagales; Juglandaceae.